Non-coding RNA from Vicia faba (fava bean), 219 nucleotides. The record is from the annotation of a GenBank genome assembly. NCBI's taxonomy places the organism in Eukaryota, Viridiplantae, Streptophyta, Magnoliopsida, Fabales, Fabaceae.
AUGGCGCGGUGGUUGCAAUUUCCUGCGGGUUUUGGUGGUGGACGGAGGUGUGGGACAGAGGCUUUCCUGGGAAAGAAGGAGUUCCGGCACGGUCUCAGAUGUGAGAGAGAGAAAGGAUUCGGUCAGUUUCUGGCGAUGGGAGGGUGUUGCUCGGUUUUCCGGCGAGGUAUGAAUUCCGGCGAGUAUUGGAACUUAGGGACAAUGAUCAUUGAUGAAUAA